GACGAACGCUGGCGGCGUGCUUAACACAUGCAAGUCGAGCGGUAAGGCCCUUUCGGGGGUACACGAGCGGCGAACGGGUGAGUAACACGUGGGUGACCUGCCCUCAGCUCUGGGAUAAGCCCGGGAAACUGGGUCUAAUACCGGAUAUGACUUCAUGACGCAUGUUGUGGAGUGGAAAGCCUUGUGCGGCUGAGGAUGGGCCCGCGGCCUAUCAGCUUGUUGGUGGGGUGANGGCCUACCAAGGCGACGACGGGUAGCCGGCCUGAGAGGGCGACCGGCCACACUGGGACUGAGACACGGCCCAGACUCCUACGGGAGGCAGCAGUGGGGAAUCUUGCGCAAGUGGGCGAAAGCCUGACGCAGCGACGCCGCGUGAGGGAU
Molecule: ribosomal RNA, 381 nt
Filed under: uncultured bacterium
Lineage: Bacteria
Description: bacterial SSU rRNA
Rfam family: Bacterial small subunit ribosomal RNA
Source: RNAcentral